RNAcentral lists this ribosomal RNA (465 nucleotides) under uncultured bacterium. Its description in RNAcentral is "bacterial SSU rRNA". It matches the Rfam family "Bacterial small subunit ribosomal RNA", at positions 338 to 795 of the family's 1533-position model. The record is from RNAcentral.
CCUACGGGUGGCAGCAGUGGGGAAUAUUGCACAAUGGGCGCAAGCCUGAUGCAGCCAUGCCGCGUGUAUGAAGAAGGCCUUCGGGUUGUAAAGUACUUUCAGCGGGGAGGAAGGUGUUGUGGUUAAUAACCGCAGCAAUUGACGUUACCUGCAGAAGAAGCACCGGCUAACUCCGUGCCUGCAGCCGCGGUAAUACGGAGGGUGCAAGCGUUAAUCGGAAUUACUGGGCGUAAAGCGCACGCAGGCGGUCUGUCAAGUCGGAUGUGAAAUCCCCGGGCUCAACCUGGGAACUGCUUUCGAAACUGGCAGGCUAGAGUCUUGUAGAGGGGGGUAAAAUUCCAGGUGUAGCGGUGAAAUGCGUAGAGAUCUGGAGGGAUACCGGUGGCGAAGGCGGCCCCCUGGACAGAGACUGACGCUCAGGUGCGAAAGCGUGGGGAGCAAACAGGAUUAGAUACCCGCGUAGUC